Molecule: ribosomal RNA, 253 nt
Filed under: uncultured bacterium
Lineage: Bacteria
Description: partial 16S ribosomal RNA
Rfam family: Bacterial small subunit ribosomal RNA
Source: RNAcentral
UACGUAGGGGGCGAGCGUUGUCCGGAAUUAUUGGGCGUAAAGAGCGUGUAGGCGGUUCGGUAAGUCUGCCGUGAAAACCCAGGGCUCAACCCUGGGCGUACGGUGGAUACUGCCGGGCUAGAGGGUGGUAGAGGCGAGUGGAAUUCCCGGUGUAGCGGUGAAAUGCGCAGAUAUCGGGAGGAACACCAGUAGCGAAGGCGGCUCGCUGGGCCAUACCUGACGCUGAGACGCGAAAGCGUGGGGAGCAAACAGG